RNAcentral lists this ribosomal RNA (468 nucleotides) under uncultured bacterium. RNAcentral's name for it is "partial 16S ribosomal RNA". It matches the Rfam family "Bacterial small subunit ribosomal RNA", at positions 28 to 507 of the family's 1533-position model. The record is from RNAcentral.
GACGAACGCUGGCGGCGUGCUUAACACAUGCAAGUCGAACGGAAAGGCCCUGCUUUUGUGGGGUGCUCGAGUGGCGAACGGGUGAGUAACACGUGAGUAACCUGCCCUUGACUUUGGGAUAACUUCAGGAAACUGGGGCUAAUACCGGAUAGGAGCUCCUGCUGCAUGGUGGGGGUUGGAAAGUUUCGGCGGUUGGGGAUGGACUCGCGGCUUAUCAGCUUGUUGGUGGGGUAGUGGCUUACCAAGGCUUGGACGGGUGGCCGGCCUGAGAGGGUGACCGGCCACAUUGGGACUGAGAUACGGCCCAGACUCCUACGGGAGGCAGCAGUGGGGAAUAUUGCACAAUGGGCGGAAGCCUGAUGCAGCAACGCCGCGUGCGGGAUGACGGCCUUCGGGUUGUAAACCGCUUUCGCCUGUGACGAAGCGUGAGUGACGGUAAUGGGUAAAGAAGCACCGGCUAACUACGUG